UAUCUCUCGCACGUGUACGUCACUCAUUGUUUGCACUUACUGUCUAUGGUUUAGACAGAGAUUUCGGAAGUGUUACCUUUCACUGUGAAGAUCUAAACAUAUUUAGACGUACAGGAAAUUGCAAUGGAAGACGUUUUCAAUAUAUCAACAGGCAACGUUUAAUUUUUUUCACAACCAUAUUUAUUUGAACAGAUCAAGUAUUUAGAGCAAUGGAGGAAGCAUCCGCUGCAGGCAGCACGUCUUGAAGCCUCACAGAGACAGAGAUCUCUUCAAAAUUGGUGGUGUUUUAGUAGCAAGUGAUGUGAGAUGCCAACAGAAGUGGAGAGCAUAUUUUGUCACAACUAGCUACAGGACGAUGAUGAGGACAUUGACAGUAUCGUAUCACACACCUGCCUGACUGAAGAUCCUGAGUUUUCUCCGCUGUUGAGUCGCAGCGGUUUGCACAUUGUGUUUUGUUUGCCACGUAUAAACUGGAGGCGGUGUCCAAGGCCAGACGGACCAAAUCGUACGCCGUCAAUAGAACAGUGCAGAUCACUUCCGGUGCUUUCCGCGUGCACACGUCACAUCAUUUAGCACGCACGCCCUCAGAUCAGUUGGACAUGGUCGUGUAAAAGAGGUGGUGACUAUAGACCUCCAUUAUAUGAGUCACAGACAAGAAUGUUUUUGACCUAAAAAUAUCAAAAUGGAAACUACUGCGGAAACAAAGACACCUACAUCUAGGAUGUCCUUGAGGUAAGCUAAAACAUACCAAAAUUUAAUUUGAAAGUGAACUAUCCCUUUAAAUGAACAUUUAACAGGUCUUUCCCUUUAGUCAAAACAUAAAAUAACAUAUGUCCGAUCCAGCCCUAUGCAAAGUGUGCUGAAAACUACUCGGUUAUGCAUGUAACCCUUGUUCCCUGAAUGGGGAAAUGGAGACGUCAUGUCGGUGAUGACCGACAAAUUGUGAUCUUGCUAGAGAGACCAAUGCACUUAGAGUGUAAACUAAACGAGCCAAUGCACAUUGGCAUGCCAUUGUUGCAUCCAGCUGCCACUGAUCACUGUGUGAGUUUAAGAGUCAGCAAGUGCACCACAUUCAUUCAUGUUUUCGCUAAGGAGACAAGCUGGUAAACCGGCAGCUAAGUGGUGGUACAGCAACUGUGGUGAUGGAAUGUGAGCUCUGUUCCCUCCUUCAGGGAAUGAGGGUUACAUAUGUAACCGAGAUGUUACCUUUCAGUCGGUCACUCUCGACUUCACAUCGGUGAUGGCCAAUGGGAUUCCUACCAACACGCCACAGGUGCUGCCCCCUCUAGUGCCACCCAAUGCUGGAGGACUCAACAGAGUAUGCCUGGUCAGGGGAACUAGGCAGCCAGGAUGCCGCAAGCCCACUCUGAACUGGGCCUCUCAGUGCCACUACCUGUUUGAGGUGAGAACACAGGAGGAAACUGGUUCAACACACAGGCUAUAUAACCUAGAGAACAUGUUAGGACUCGUCCAGCUCGCAGUUCUACAAAUUUCCUAGCGCCCAGGACGAUGUGACACUCCUGGUGGAGUGAGCACGCAGCCUAAGCGGGCAGGACACACCUUAUGCUUCAUAGGAAAAGGUGAUGGCAUCCACUAUCCAGUGGGCCAUCCUAUGUUUGGAGACAGCUUUCCCCUUCUGCUGUCCACCGUAACUGACAAAGAGCUGUUCUGAGUUCCUAAAGCUCUGAGUUCUAUACACAUACUGUUGCAGUGAGCAUACAGGAUAGAGCAAAGCUAGGGCUGGGUCUACCUCCUCCAAGGGUAGCGAUUGCAGGUUCACCACCUGGUCCCUGAAGGGAGUGGUAGGAACCUUGGGCACUUAGCCUAGCUAGGGUCUCAGUGUUUCACUGGAAUCAGCCGGCCCAAACUCAAUGCACGAUUCAUAGACCGAAAAUGCCUGCAGGUUCCCCACCCCCUUGAUCGAGGCAAAUGCAGUCAGGAGCAGGGUUUUCAUAUAAAAAUGUCACCUCGACUGUCUGCAAAGGCUCGAAGGGGCCAGUUUGCAGGGCUCCUAGCACCAAUGCCAAACCCCAAGAGGGCAGGGAGGGAGGCCUAGGAGGAUUUAACUUCCUGGCCCCCCUAAGAAACUUGUCUCCAGAUCAACCAUCUUCAGAGUAGCUGAACCACCUAGGGGUGGAGUCUCCACUCUCCCAGAAGUGCUGCUCAAUUCAACACUCCCAGGAUGUGGAUGGCACAAAAGGAACCUCAGAUGCUUCUGACUCCACAGGAGGAGGUGGCUCGCGAGUUGCAACAAGUGACGGGAGCGUGAACUUCCUUGUUAGCAACUCGAGGUAAUUGAUAUGCCAGUGCAGUUGGGGACCCAUCCAAAACCCUGAUACUGCAUGUCAUUGUACCUGGCCACCCAGCUGGUGGCCGAAGCAUCCAUGAAUACUACAGCAUGCCUGGAUAUAUGUUUAAGGGGCACUCCUACCUGGAGAAAUUAGAGAUCUGACUGACCAGGGGCUGAAGAUUCUGUGGCAGGCCGGUGUAAUCUGAACCUGGUGAACCUGCCAUUUGACCCUGGAGCCUUCCAGAGGUAUUAAGAGAAAAAAAGUAAAAAAGAAACAAACAAACAACCAAUUCCUUCUCAUUUCGUUUUAAUGGGAAGAGAGAUGGUUGUAAAUAUCACAGGAAGUUAUAUCUGUUUUGGCAUAAAACAAC
This is a long non-coding RNA of Carassius gibelio (silver crucian carp), 2661 nucleotides long. RefSeq lists it as uncharacterized. Lineage: Eukaryota; Metazoa; Chordata; Actinopteri; Cypriniformes; Cyprinidae. The record is from RefSeq and is a predicted model, not a curated record. The transcript has 3 exons.